Molecule: ribosomal RNA, 256 nt
Filed under: uncultured bacterium
Lineage: Bacteria
Description: partial 16S ribosomal RNA
Rfam family: Bacterial small subunit ribosomal RNA
Source: RNAcentral
UACGAAGGGGGCUAGCGUUGCUCGGAAUGACUGGGCGUAAAGGGCGCGCAGGCGGCUCAUUUUGUCAGGCGUGAAAGCCCCGGGCUUAACCUGGGAACUGCGUUUGAUACGGAUGGGCUAGAGUUCGGGAGAGGAGAGUGGAAUUCCCAGUGUAGAGGUGAAAUUCGUAGAUAUUCGCGAGAACACCAGUGGCGAAGGCGGCUCACGUGGCCCGAUACCUGACGCUGAGGCACGAAAGCGUGGGGAGCAAACAGGG